Molecule: ribosomal RNA, 505 nt
Filed under: uncultured Gammaproteobacteria bacterium
Lineage: Bacteria; Pseudomonadati; Pseudomonadota; Gammaproteobacteria
Description: bacterial SSU rRNA
Rfam family: Bacterial small subunit ribosomal RNA
Source: RNAcentral
GGCCUAACACAUGCAAGUCGAGCGGUAACAGGACUAGCUUGCUAGUUGCUGACGAGCGGCGGACGGGUGCGUAACACGUAGGAAUCUGCCCGGUAGUGGGGGAUAGCCCGGAGAAAUCCGGAUUAAUACCGCAUACGCCUUACGAGGGAAAGAAGGGGCCUCUUCGGAGCCUUUCGCUAUCGGAUGAGCCUGCGUCGGAUUAGCUAGUUGGUGGGGUAAAGGCCUACCAAGGCGACGAUCCGUAGCUGGUCUGAGAGGAUGAUCAGCCACACUGGGACUGAGACACGGCCCAGACUCCUACGGGAGGCAGCAGUGGGGAAUAUUGCACAAUGGGGGAAACCCUGAUGCAGCCAUGCCGCGUGUGUGAAGAAGGCUCUAGGGUUGUAAAGCACUUUCAGCGAGGAGGAAAGGUUGCUGGUNAAUACCCAGCGGCUGUGACGUUACUCGCAGAAGAAGCACCGGCUAACUCCGUGCCAGCAGCCGCGGUAAUACGGAGGGUGCGAGC